RNAcentral lists this ribosomal RNA (433 nucleotides) under uncultured bacterium. Its description in RNAcentral is "partial 16S ribosomal RNA". It matches the Rfam family "Bacterial small subunit ribosomal RNA", at positions 29 to 507 of the family's 1533-position model. The record is from RNAcentral.
AACGAACGCUGGCGGCAUGCCUAACACAUGCAAGUCGAACGAGACCUUCGGGUCUAGUGGCGCACGGGUGCGUACCGCGUGGGAACCUGCCCUUAGGUUCGGAAUAACUCCCCGAAAGGGGUGCUAAUACCGGAUAAUCUCUUCGGACCAAAGAUUUAUCGCCUUUGGAUGGGCCCGCGUUGGAUUAGCUAGUUGGUAGGGUAAAAGCCUACCAAGGCGACGAUCCAUAGCUGGUCUGAGAGGAUGAUCAGCCACACUGGGACUGAGACACGGCCCAGACUCCGACGGGGGGCAGCAGUGGGGAAUAUUGGACAAUGGGCGAAAGCCUGAUCCAGCAAUGCCGCGUGAGUGAUGAAGGCCUUAGGGUUGUAAAGCUCUUUUACCCGGGAUGAGAAUGACAGUACCGGGAGAAUAAGCUCCGGCUAACUCCGUG